CACUUCUGGUCCUCCUUUGACUAGAUACAGAUUUGUUGAAGUCAGAUUUGGUGCUUGGACCACUGAACUUAUUGUUGAGGUCAGAUUUGGUGUUUGGACCAUUGAAUUUAUUUCUUUUAUCCAUCCUUUUCAUGAUACGGUUGAACUGUCUUCCAAGUAACACCAUGGCUUCAGAUAAACUUUCAUCACUCUCCAUAUCUAUCUCAUCA
Molecule: long non-coding RNA, 209 nt
Filed under: Trifolium pratense (red clover)
Lineage: Eukaryota; Viridiplantae; Streptophyta; Magnoliopsida; Fabales; Fabaceae
Description: long non-coding RNA (TPRA_LNC008136)
Source: RNAcentral